RNAcentral lists this long non-coding RNA (20044 nucleotides) under Homo sapiens (human). RNAcentral's name for it is "non-protein coding lnc-HSPA12A-1:6". Lineage: Eukaryota; Metazoa; Chordata; Mammalia; Primates; Hominidae. The record is from RNAcentral.
AGACGUCGGCAGGCUGGAGGUAGAAGGUGGAGUUGAGCAGCUCUUCCAGCCUGCGCGGAACGUCGUUCUCCCGGUAGUACUCCAUCGCCUGCUGCUUCAGCUUCUGCAGCUCCCUAGUGGUCCCACAGCUGCGGCCGCCGCCUUCUUCCUCCAUGAUGGAGAGUGUUGGCGUGUACGGAUUCUGUGGGUGUAAAGCAAAGAACAAAAUGAAGUGUGAUUCAAGGUGGGAAAUAGCCGCUUCAGGCUGCAGCAGCUACCACACAAAGAAGCAGUCCUAUGGCAAUGACAGGACAUCUGUGUCCAGGAUUUGGAUUUGACGAACUGGCAGUUCCUGCAGGGAUGACGGUACUCCCUAGUUGUGUCUGAAUUGGACGCACCAGCACUUGAGCACACACAAACGCACGUGAACAGACGGAACAUGUUAUGGGCCUGUUAGCCAAGGAAUGACAGAAUUAAUCCAUGGGCAUUUGCGGCCAGUGUUGUGUUAAACUAAAGGGAAAAAGUGAACUGGAAAAAGCAAUGUUUGUUUUAUGAAAAUCUCAGACCCAAUCCUUAGGUGACAGUUCUGGAAAUGAGGGGUGUCUAAAACAAAGGGCAUCUGAAACUUCGGUUUUUCAGCUUCCUUUCCUUGUCUCAUGACCUCUUUCCUACCCGCUGCCUCUGUUUUCUCUAAUAUGGAACAGUGAAAAUGGGGGCCAGCAAAACAGAUUGCUGAUGUCUGUUGAUUUUAUCAAAGGAAGGUUAGAUUGAGUAAGAUGGCAUAAAUAAGCACACAUAGGACAAUACCUGGCAUAUAUCAGGUGCUCAAUAGCAGUGAAUUCUCUCCCUGCUGUCAUGAAUUCUUGAAGGUUGGAGACCAUGCGCUGUUCUGCGUGCCAAGUUAUUUUUUCGGCCUGAUAGCAGGUGAGCUACUGAGUGAAGACAGAGACUGGACGCUAAUUCAGCUCUGAAUCUUCAGCACCUGGCAUGGAAGGUGCACAGGACAUAUUUGAAAAAGGAGAAUUAAUAGAAUUGACCAAUAGGCUGACCUCCUGAAUGAUGACUGAGCAAAUUGAUCUAGAGGUAUUCAAAACAGUUUAGUUGACUGUCCCAAACUUUCUCAGACCUCUUCUGCCACUGACUUCCCUGAAAAGACCCUUUGCAGCCAGGCACGGUGGCUCAUGCCUGUAAUCCCAGCAUGUUGGGAGGCUGAGGUGGGCGGAUCACGAGGUCAAGAGAUUGAGACCAUCCUGGCCAACGUGGUGAAACCUCGUCUCUACUAAAAGUACAAAAAUUAGCUGGGUGUGGUGGCACGUGCUUGUAGUCCCAGCUAGUUGGGAGGCUGAGGCAGGAGAAUCGCUUGAACUGGGGAGGCGGAGGUUGUAGUGAACCAAGAUCAUGUCACUGCACUCCAGCCUGGCAAUAGAGCGAGACUCUGUCUCAAAAAAAAACCAAAAAAACAAAAUCAACCCUUUUGCAUUUUUGUCCUAUCCUGUUUUCCGUCCCCUUGAGACCGUAUCACACGUUCUUUUUCCUCUUUGGUGACCUUCUUUGUCUUUCUUGCUGCUCCUGUACACUGUUGUUUACUCACACUGCUUUUAUUCUGAGCUCUCAUAUCUCUUCUAUUUCUGGUUCUGACGCCUAUCUUGUCUAUGCCUCGCACACUCACCUCCGACUCGGAGUCCUGACCUGCACAGCUGCGAUUGCGGUUUGCACACUUUGAGGGUGAACAGUUGUCAUGCAGCCCUUUUGAGUGCUAAAAAGUGACCACUUAAGAUUUUCCUCGUGGUUAGGAAGAUGAGUAUUUUAAAAUCAUUCUGGAGGAGAUUAGUGGUAAAGAAAACCUUCCUCAGCAACUAAAUCAUUGUGGAAAAAUAAGCCAAUUAGUCACUAAAACAAAAACCUUUUGAAGACUUGUGAACAGAGGAAAGAACAUGUGAAUUACAGGUUUUCUGUUUUGUGGCAUUGAUAGACUCCAGUAGUAUUCAUGAUCGCUGAUCAUCGCGAUGGGGACCCCGGAAAGGUGAAAUUAUGUUCAGUUGAAUAUUACCUAACCCUUCUCAAAGGACAAUUUGAUUUUGUUAUUCCAUUGUUAAGGGCUUUUUGGUGGCCCUUCGAGAUCUGGCUCUGGCUUCUCUUUGACCUUGAACCCUCACUCUGGUUGUGCUGAUCUGCUGACCGUCCUCCGGACACGGUAGGGUGCUCCAUGCCACAGGGCCUUUGAACAAACCUUUCUUAUCCUUGGAAUAAAUGCCUUUUCUUCCUUUUGUUCCCCUGCCAAACACAUGCUAUUAGGAAAGAUUCAACCCCAUGUCAUCACCUCCACAAAGCUUCUCCUGACACCUCCCAAGUUAGAUUGACCUUUUUCUCUUUUGUGUCCCCCACUGUCGAACUUGAUGUUCUUGUCAAUGACAACAAUAGUGGUAACAAUGAUGGUUUCCUUUCAUUGAGUGCCUUUUGGUUCCAGUAAGUGUAAGUGCUUUCACUUGUUAUAUCAUUUAAGCCCUGCCACCCUAUGAAGAGGCCACUAUUAUACAUACAGUCAUGCAUUGCUUUAUGACAGGGAUAUGUUCUGAGAAAUGCAUUAUUAGGCAAUUUCAUCAUUGUGUGAACAUCAUAGAAUGUACUUCCACAAACCUAGAUGAUAUAGCCUGCCUCACAACUAAGCUAUUAUAUGCAGGACAGUCUGCUGCUAGCUGCUUCUAAGCUACAGACCAUAUAUAUGUAUAUAUGUACAUAUCCUCUCCCUGCCCCUCUUGCUCUUUAUAUAUAUAUGCAUAUACCUAUAAUAUAUGCAUAUUUAGAUAGGCUUUUAUAUGUAUAUUGUAUAUAUGUACAUAUAUACAUUUAUUUUUUGAGACAGGGUCUUGCUCUGUCUCCCAUGCUGGAGUGCAGUGGUAUGAUCACGGCUCACUGCAGCCAUGACCUCCCAGGCUCGAGGGAUCCUCCCAGCUCAGCCUCCCAAGUAGGUGGGACUACAGGCAUGCACCACCACAUCUGGCUAAUUUUUGAAUUUUUUUUUGUAGAGAUGGGGUUUCACCAUGUUGCCCGGUUCUCAAACUCCUAGGCUCGAGUAAUCCACCCAACUUUGCUCCCAAAGUGGUGGGAUUAUAGGUGUGAGCCACCGCAACCAGCCCAUAUAUGCAUAUUUAAUAUACAUGUGUAGCAUAUACAUACACAUAUACACAUCUAUGCAUAUAAAUUAACAAUAUGUAUAUAUGUGCAUAAAUUCACAUAUAUUUUCUGUAUAAAGACAGCAAGAGAGGCAGGCGGAGAAAGAAUCAGUUGCAGUCUGGAGGAAUAUACGUGUGUUACAUGGUUUCCCUGCCUUUAAAUUCUCUGUUAAUCUGUAUUCCUUGUAAAGUAGAUGACAGCAUGUAUCUUGGCCUACAUGUUUCUAAAGACAAACCUCUAAGCUCUUGAAGUUCUGCCAUGGUGUAUCAUAGUACAUUGAAGUCAGAAAGCCCAUUAGAGGAGGAGGAUGCCUGGCUAGAAUAGUGUUCUUGAGUUUUUCCAUGUGUAUUGUCUCAGGUAGGAAGAUGACAAGUCCUACUUUGUUCUUGUGUGAUUCCCCAUCAUUCAGUCUGUGGAGGCUGAGCUUGUUAAUGGUGGUGAACACGAGUUUCGUUCUUUGCCAGGAGUGCCCACCAGUGCCCAUAACGCCCUCCCGGAAUGUGCCGGGCAGUAUGUUUAGGGUAAGACUGACUAACGACCCAACACUGACAACGGCCUUAGCACAAACCCAAAAGGCUCUGCUAGAGCUCAGAGGCAGCCACGAGAUUGGGAGAGCUGGAUGACGGUUUGCUAAGAGAAUUCAAGCUGUCAGUCCUCCUGUGUAUCCUUUGGAUUCUGUUAUGCUGUUGCUUGUAGAGGGAAAAAGUUCAUGUGUCAUUUAUAUACAAGUGCCCAUUUGACAUUGAGUGAGUCACAUUUAUUUUACCCUAUAUGAACACAAAAUCUCUGUUUUAAAAUCAGAUUCUAGAACUUUAAAAGGGUUCUUAUGUAUUGUUCUGAAGUAACUCAGUGGCUCUUGGUGAGCCCGCCCCACCUGGCCUGUUGGGUGACCCUCUUCCUGCCCCCUCACCGGUUCUGCUCCUUGUUCCUCUCUCUGCGCCUUGGCUCCCCUUCCCAGAGCCCUUCCUCUUGGUCUUGCCAAAUCCUGCCCAUCCUUUGAGAAACGCUUAUGCCCAUGGCUGUCUUACCCCUUCCUGCUUUGCUGUGGUAUCCAUUAGUCUGUUCUCGCGCUGCUAAUAAAGACAUACAAAAGACUGGGUAAUUUAUAAAGGAAAGAGGUUUAAUGGACUCACAUUUCCACAUGGCUGGGGAGGCCUCACAAUCAUGGUGGAAGAUGAAGGAAGAGCAAAGGGACUUUUUAUGUGGCGGCAGGAAAGAGAGCUUGUGCAGGGAAACUCCCAUUUAUAAAACUGUCAGAUCUCAUGAGACUUAUUCACUACCAUGGGAACAGUAUGGGGGAAACUGCCCCCAUGAUUCAAUUAUCUCCACCUGGCCCUGCCCUUGACACGUGGGGGUUAUUACAAUUCAAGGUGAGAUUUGGGUGGGGACACAGCCAAAAUAUAUCUGGCAUAUGCAAUCUGAUCACCCCUUCCAAACUUCUCUCUUAAAAAUGCAACAUUCUGACAGCAUGUGGAGGCUUGGAUGGAAACACGGUAAAAAUUACAACAUUGUUUCUCACACUUUUGCACCAAAGUGAUACAAAUCGCAGAGCUGAGGCAACUGGUGUUUCUGCGAGAAUGGAAUGGAAUGUGGUUGAAAUUUUGUGUUGUUUUUUAAAUAUUUGCAACUAUUUGUCAUUCUUCCAUAAAAAUCAGAAUUCAUGGUUGUGUACAUAAAAGUAAUUUUCUAAAGUGUGCCUUUGUGUGUCCUUGAUGCAGGACCAGCUUGGACUUGUGACCUGUGCAGUCACACAAGGCCCUGCACGUGGUUUAAUGCUCCGCUGUCACCAUCUUGAAAUUCUUAAUACCUUGAACGAGGGGUCCUGUAUUUUUGUUUCAUGCUGGGCCCAGCAAAUUACAUAGGUGGUCCUCCCUUUGGGGUUCUGCAAGGCAACUAACUGUGAAGCAUGCAUCGAGUUACAGUUUUAAAUCUUAACAUGACUUCAUCUGUUAUGGCCUACCCAGGACAGUGCAGGAAGCUGGGUGCCCUUUAAGAAAGGAGUCUGGGCUGAAGGAGAUGGAGAGGUAGGAAGGGUUGGGGUCCUGAAUGCCAGCUUUGCCAGGGCCAUGCCUCGCAGCCAUGUCCUUCCUGCCUGUCUACCACAGGCCAGGAGGUGAACAGUCAUUCUGUAAUUCACAUGCAGUAAAGCUUUUUGAGAGUUCUGUUUUUCACCUGGAACUGCCAAGUCAUUUGGUGAAGAUUUCCUGCUUGUUUGAAGUCUGCAGAGAAAAACCGCUAAUGAAACAUACCACAUUUGGAAAUGAACUUUUUAAAGUAUGUAUCCAUAAGUUCUUAUUUCAGCUCUUCCUUUUAUUCUAUAAAUGCCUGUCUUAUUUCAAAAGGGACUUUCAGGCAGAGGUAUAACAACAUAAUAAGAACAAUACAUUUGAGAAACAGAACUGAAAAGAAACUAAGGCAAAGUCAGGGGUAAAAUUGGAUCACAAAUGCAUACCACGAGGUCUUACUGAAUUUAAAAUUUACAAAUGCCUGUAAGCUUCCCAGUCGCAGAACAAAGGAACACAAUUGGUCAUAUCUAUAUGCAGCAGGAGAAGGGUUGGGCGGACAGCAGCUCGCAACUUGGCUUCCACCGUCUGCCGCAGAGAAUUUAGAGGCGUCUUGGGAACAUGAGUGGGGCUAUCCAGGAAUCUGUUUACCUGAGGGACUAAGUCCUGUCCCUUGGACAUCCCCAAAUAGUCCAGAAUGAAGCUUUAUUUGGAGAAGAGGGGCAGUUCGGAGCACUUCAUGACGUCUUGUCACCCAGUUUGUCCCACAUCUGCCUUCAAACUGAGUGGGACUUGAGCAAACAACACCCAGAGCUUCACUCUUCCCCACCACUGCGCUGGCCCUGCGGUGUUGUGAGUUGGUGGCUCCAGUGACAUGGCAGUGGCGGUGAGCCUGGCGCUGGCAGUGUUGGUGACACUCACGUGGUGGUGGUGGCACCAGCACUGGCGGUGUCUGUACCAGCAGGAGAGGUAGCACCGACACCUCCAAAGUGGAUGCAGCAGCAUCACAGUGGCUACAGGUGCCAAUCGGCUGUAGUAGGUGUGGAGGCAGUGGCUGGGAGUGGCUCGCAGCAAGGGCGAGCUCUCUGGACAACUCCAUGGGUGACAGAAGCCUGGACACGGGAGACCUUGGGGAGCCUUAUCCAAGGAGGUGCUUGAGGCUCCCCCUUGAGGAAGACCUCUCCAUUGGUGGGGGAAUUUGGAGCCAAAGAAAGCUCCUUAUGUUGUCAAAAUGUCCCUUUUUUAACCUUAGGAUAUUGUGACCCCUGAAGGUAUUAAUGAUAUUCUAGAGCAUUUGAAAGACAACAGCCAACUAGCUGGUUAAGCGCAGCUCAGUUUUUCCCCAGUGUGUGUGGGUGGCUGAGCACACAUUCAUUAAUUCAGUGAUUCAUUCAGCCAACAUCUGCGGAACCCCUGCUGGCUUCUGGAGUCAGAUUGCGGGGAUCUGAAUCGGGCUUGCCACUUACUAGUCUAUGACCUCGAGCAAAUGACGUGAUUCCUCUAAUACCCAGUUUCCCCAUCUGUAAUAUGAAAUGUGAAUACUAAGUAUCCGCCUCAUUGGGUUUUAGGAGAAUCAAAUGCAUGUCAAGUGUUUAACAUGGUGCCUGGCACAGAUUAAACAUCCAAGAAGUGUGAGUUAUGAUUAAAGGCUGUGAAAUGUACAAAGAGCCACAUAGUCCCCCAUUCAUUCAAGCAUUUUCUGUCCAUAUAAGGAAAUGCUACAUAGCCCAACUCCAGAAGGCUACACAUUAACUGGGGGUAUCACACAGUAGAGAAAUUAUGGGUGAUUUGAUUUGAUUAUUUAUCUGCUUUUUAGGAAUUUUCCAGUGUAUGUGAACUGUUUGUGAGAUCUUAAAACAGAAAGAAAAGCAACCCCAUUUGCCCUUCCCUUUGGUACUUCUGUGACACCCGUGUCGUCCAUCAGUUCCCAUGCAGGCAGGGGCGGUGACACUCACGCAUCUGUAGAUGGCUCAGACUCUCAGAAACUUCUUUCUUAGAGGAUCUGCUUGUAGUUUCUGGCUUUUACGUUUCAUUCAUUAUUCAUUCAUUCGUUCAUUCAAGAAAUACUUAUUAAGCACCUCUUGUCUGCCAGGCACAUUGAUAAGUUCUGGUGAGUGAAAGCCAAUGGCUCCCUUGAAGGAGCUGGUAAUUUAUCAGGGUUCUCAGACUGUCAUCCAAUAAUUAAAUAAAUAUGUCACGACAGAUGGAAGUGAGAUGAAGGCAAGGAACUUGGUGCUGUGAAGGUGGACAGCAGAGAUGAAGGUGGAGGGAGGCGGGGGAGGCUUCCCUGGGAGGUGACGGGAAAGCUGAGCUGUGAAGGUGCAUAGGAGUUAUUGGGUGUGUGUGGGGGUGGGGCAUGUGCGGUCCAGACAGAGGAGCAGAGUCGACUUCGGGGCCACACAGAGAAUGGAAUUCCCUUUCCAUGUGACAGCCCUUCACACAUCUGUAGGUGGCUUCUCCCCGGAAGCCUUUCUGUUGUAUUCCUGCCUUCUUCAGCUUUUCUGCCUAGGAUGUGGUUUCACAGCCUGUUUUCAUUCUGAGAUCCAGUUUGUUCGUAUCCUUCUUUUUCGAUAACAAUUUUAUUGAGCUAUAAUCCACAUGCAGUACAAUUCACUCAAAGUGUAUAAUUCAAUGAUUUUUAAUAUAUCACAGAAUUGUGCAACCAUCACCAUGAUCAAUUUUAGAACAUUUUCAUCACCCCAAAAAGAAACCCUUAUACCCAUUAGCAGCAGCCACUCCUCGUUUCCCCCACCAAUCCCAGCCCUGGGAAACCAUUAGUUGCUUUUGGUCACUAUAGAUACACCUGUUCUGGGCAUUUUUUAUAAAUGGAAUCAUACAGGAUGCAUUCUUUUGUUUAACUGCUUCUUUCGUUUAGCAUAAUGUUUUUAAGGUUCAUCCAUGUUGUAGCAUGUAUCAGUACUUUGUUUGUUUGUUUGUUUUUGAGACAGAGUCUCACUCUGUCACCCAGGCUGGAGUGCAGUAGCACCAUCUAGUCUCACUGCAACCUCUGCCUCCCAGGUUCAAGCAGUUCUCCUGCCUCAGCCUCCCAAGUAGCUGAGACUACAGGCACGAGCCACCAUGCCCUGGUAAUUUUUUGUAUUUUUAGUAGAGAUGGGGUUUCACCAUGUUGGCCAGGCUGGUCUUGAACUCCUGAGCUCAAGUGAUCCUCCCAUCUAGGCCUCCCAAGGUGCUGGGAUUACAGGCAUAAGCCACCACGCCCGGCCACUUCAUUUUUUUUUUAAAUUUACUUAUUUUUUUUUUUUUUGAGACAAGGUCUCACCCUGCCACCCAGACUAGAGUAGAGUGGUGCAAUCACAGCUCGCUGCAGCUUCGGCCUCCCAGGCCCAAGUGAUUCCCCCACCACAGCCCCCCAGUAGCUAGGACUACAGGCGUGCACCACCACACCCGGUUAAUUUUUGUAUUUCUUCUAGAGAUGGGGUUUUGCCAUGUUGCCCGGGCUGAUCUCAAACUCCUAGGCUCAAAUGAUCUGCCUGCCUCGGCCUUCCAAAGUGCUGGGAUUAGCCGGGUACUGUGGCUUAUGCCUGUAAUCCCAGCACUUUGGGAGGCUGAGGCAGGCAGAUCACAAGUUCAGGAGAUCAAGACCAUCCUGGCCAACAUGGUGAAACCCCAUCUCUACUAAAAAUACAAAAAUUAGCCGGGUGUGGCGGUGCGCAUCUAUAGUCCCAGCUACUCAGGAGGCUGAGGCAGGAGAAUUGCUUGAACCGGCAGGCGGAGCCUGCAGUGAGCCGAGAUCAUGCGACUGCACUCCAGCCUGGGUGACAGAGCAAGACUCCAUCUCAAAAUAAACAAACAAACAAACAAAACACUAAGUGGUGGGAUUACAGGCGUGAGCCACUGAGCCCAACCAGUCCUUCACUUUUCAUUGCUGGAUAAUGAUAAUAUUCCAUUGUAUGGAUAGAACAUGGUUUGUUUGUCCAUUAGUCAGUUGAUGGAUGUUUGGGUUGUUUUCAUUUUGGGGCUAUUAUGAAUAAUGUUGAUAUGGACCAGUUUGUGUGUGGAUGUAUUUUUUCGCUUCUCUUGGGUAUAUCUUAGGAAUGGAAUUGCUAGGGCAUAUGGUAACUCUAUAUUUAACCUUUUGAGGAACUGCUAAACUGUUUUCCACAGUGGGUACACAUUUUGUAUUCCUACCAACAGUGUAUGAGGCUUCUUAUUUCUCCACAUCAUUUCCAACACUUUGCAUUAUCUGUCUUUUUGAUUAUAGUCAUCCUUCUGGGUGUGAAGUGGCAUUUCAUUGUGUUUUGAUUGGCAUUUCACUUAUACCUUAUGAUGCUGGCAUCUUUUCAGAUACUUAGUGGACAUUUGUAUACAUCUUCUUUGUAGAUAUAUCUGUUCAGGUUCUUUGUCCAUUUUUAAAUUGGGUUAUGUCUUUUUAUUAUUGAUUUGUAAGAGUUCUUUAUAUAUUUUAGAUAUAACUCCCUUAUCAGAUGUAUUAUUUGCAAAUAUUUUUUCCCAUUCUGUGUGUUGCCUUUUCACCUUCUUGAUGAUGUCCUUCAAAGCAUGAAGGUUUUUAAUUUUUAUUAAGUCCAGUUUAGCCAUAUUUUUCUUGUUGCAUGUGGUUUUGGUGGCAUAUCUAAGAAGCCAUUGCUAACAUAAGGCCACAAAGACUUAUAUCUGUAUUUUCUUCUUUCCUCUCAUAAGAGUUUUAUGGUUUUACCUCUUAACGUUUCGGCUUUUUGUGCAUUUAGAAUUCAUUUUUGUAUAUGGUGUGAUGUAGGGGUUCACCUUCCUUGUUUUACAUGAUAUCCAGUUGUCCCAGCACCAUUAGUGAAAAGACUAUUAUUUCCCCACUAAAUUGUCUUCACCCCCUUGUCAAAAAGCAAUUGACUAUACAUGUGAGGGUUUAUUUCUGGACUCUGAAAUUCUAUUCCAUUGAUCUGUCUGUCUAGCCCUAUACAAGUACCACACUAUCUUGAUCACUGUGGUUUUGUAUUGAGUUUUGAAAUUAGAAAGUGUGAGUCCUCCAACUUUGUUCUUCUUUUUCAAAAUUGUUUUGUUUAUUCUGUGUCCCUUGCAUUUCUUUGUGAAUGCAGGGAUCAUGUUGAGACUGUAGAUCAUUUGGGGGGGCAUUGCCAUUUUAAUGGUAUUAAAAAUCUUCUCAUCCAUGAACCUGGAUUACCUAUGUCUUCUUUAAUGUCUUUCAACAGUGUUUUAUAGUUUUCAGAGAAUAAAUUUUUCACUGCUUUUGUUAAAUGCAUUCCUAAAUAUUUUAUUCUUGUGAUGCUAUUGUAAAGGGAAUUGUUUUCUUAAUUUUAUUUUUGGAUUGUUCAUUUCACAUCCCUUUUAAAACGUGGUCCCUGGAACCAUCAGAUUAGCACUGAAGACAGUGGAUGUUCACUUCAAACUUGUGGAUAUGAUUCUGUACUCUAACCUCAGACAAAGUUAAGCUUUUUGUGGAAGAGGUGAGUUGGGGUUGGGUGGUUGGCACACACAGCACACCAUUGACUCAUGUCAACAAAAGCCCCUCACACCUUUUUAAGUCGUCUGCUGCUAGGCCAUGCCUUCCUUAUUCUGUACCUGGGCAAGUAGCUCUUGGGUGCCAGAAAUAGCUCCUUUCCCUUUCCAUUGCAUAUUCUUGGGUCCAGGCCAUUGCUUCUAGUCUAGGAGUGAGAGUGAUUUGGAUGCUGAUUCUGACCCUGAGUCAUGACAUCUUUGUUCCCAGCCUAUCCACGAAUGCAAUAAACAUGGCCUCUUUAUUUUCAUUCAAGCCAGUGAUAAAAAUGUCCAAUGGGACUUUGCAAAGGAUAGAGGCUUGAAGUCCUGAAUUCAGAACCUCUCUCUGAGAACAUUAAAUUGUAGCCUCUGAAGAACCGUAUCCAACCAGUCCCCAAGCCAUCCAAUGGUCCAUGCACCAAAUUCAUGUCAACCCCAUUGAACUUAUCAAAUGCCCUACUGAAUUCAUAAACUCUUGAUCUCCCUCAUUUCUACCGGUCUCUUAAUCCUAUCAAGGAAGGAAACAAGAUUCUCUUGAAAGAGUAUUUUCUCUGUGAACCCACAGGGCGUCCUGGUGAUUCCUGCUUUCUGUAUGUUCAUAAGCCACAAAUCCCCUCUAACAAGCCAUUCCUGAAUUGUUUUCAUCAGCCAGUUGUUCUCUUAUCAUGAGAGAAUUAACCUCAGAUGGAGAAGCUGAGGAUCACCGAAGGGAAGGUCAGACAUAAGACUGGUAAGUGUGAAGGGAAGACUAGAACCCAAAGCUUAUAGUGGCAUGUCCUGUGCUUCCUCCACUGGUAAUGGAGAGAGACAGUUCCCGUAUGGACAAAGACUUGAGCAAGUGUGGAAGUGAGAAGAAACUCAGUUAUCCACAUCCCAUGUCCUCAGAUAAACCCAAGUGUACUACUUACUUUACACAAAGUGAAAUACUACUGCUCUAUACAAAGUGAUGUAAAUGCCUUAGCGAACACCAAAAGAUAGGCAUAGCACGCAAAGCUGUCUUUUAAAUCACAUUUGUGGUUUCAUAUUAUCUCAUUUAAUUCGGAUUCCUCUUAGGCCUGGAUUAUCUGGAUUACAUUAAUUCAACAAGCACCUACUCCUGUUUUUUCAGACCCAAUGGCAGGUUCUGGUGUUUCUGAGCUGUAAAGGGCAUAGUCCCUACACUGUGGGAGCUCCCAUCUGACAGGGAAGGUUGACAGGUGAGUCCAGCCCACUGUGGUAGAUGGUGACUUGCCGUGCCACUCCCUGAGGUCCAGGCUUUCCUCUCAUGCAGUCAGGAUGGCAAGUGACACGGGUGGAUCAGCGUGGAGCCACAAACCAGUCAACAGAUAAUGAUUUCACAUCUAUCAUAUGCUGAGCACAGUUCUACACAUUAUGCAGCACUGGAUAAAAGUACAAAUCCCUGCCCUCAUGGGGCUUCCAUUCUAAUGUAUGUAUGUGUGUAUGUGUGCAAAUCUGAAUAUGUUAAAUGAUAAAUGGUAUAGAGAAAAAAUAAAGCUGGAUGGGGAAUAAAGAAUGAUGGGCUAGAAAUGAGGUUGGAAUUUAAAAUAGGGGUUCUGGGGAGGCCUCCUGAGAAGGUGGCAUCUGAGCAGCAGCCUGAGGGAAGGUGGGUCAUCAAGCCAUGUGGCUGUCCAAUGGAGGAGCAUCCCAGGCCGAAGGAAGGGCUGUGCUAAGGUCCUGAGGUAGGAGGUGCCUUGUGUGUUAGAGCAAGGAGGCCACUUAGCUGGGAGAUGAGGCCACGUAGGGCCUUAUAGGGCCUGGCAAGGACUCCAGCUUCUCCUCUGAGGUGGGAAGCCAGGGUCUUGAGAGGGAGAGUGACACGAUCUUACAUUCUGUACUUAUAUUUUUGAAAGAUCCCAAAGGUCAUGUUGGGAAUAGACUUUGGUAGGAAGUGGGGUGGCAAGAGGAGAGGCAGCAAUUAUGAUGAUGUAGGUGGAGAUGGAACAGAUGUGAAUUUAGAGGAGAAGGUGGAGGGGUGAGAAGCAGACAGAUUUUGCAGGGGUGCAGGGGGAGGCCAUAGGAUUUCUGGGGACUGGAUAUAGUUGUGAAAAAGAGAGGAGUAAGGAUGAUGCUGGCAUUUUGAAGGGUGGAGUCACCAAUAUGAUGUGCCAGCAACUGGAGGAGGAGGAGUGGGUUUGGGGUGGAACCUGCUGAUUUGGAGAUCAGGUGUUUGGGGGUCUGUUUAUUAGAGUUACCUGUUAGACUGCAAGUGGAGAUAUGGUGAGCUCCGACUAGAAAUGUCAACGUGGACUCAUUAGCAUAUAGUUGGUACUGAACACCAAGAAAGCGGAAGAGAUCCCCCAAGGAAAGAGUGUAGAUGGGAAUGAGAGGUCUGAGGACUAAAGCCUGGGGCAUUGUCACAUUCAGAGCCACAGCAAUGAGGUGCAACCAGUGAAAAAGUCUGAAAUGCUGUGCCGGGAAUGAACAAGACAAGCAGGAGGAUGUGGUGUCCUGGAAAGCAAAUGAAGAGGAGAGGGUGGUGACUGGCCACGUCUGAUGAGGGCUGAGAACUGAUGCAAAGUCAUGGUCAUGUGACCAUACCAUUGGUGGAAACAGCAGGCAGGUAACACUCCUGGCUUCCUCCCACAGGAUCAGUGUAACCGCAUCCCUGACCAGGUGAUCACAGUGACUGUCUCCUGCACAGAUCUCAAACUCCACGCCUGUCCUCCCACCCCAUCAUGGUCCCUAAAAAUGGCAAAAUUAAUCUCUUUCCCUUUGAUACUCUCACGUCAACAAGUAUGUUGCUGUUCAAGAUGUUUGUCUCUUAUUUUUCCUUGAUUUUUAAUUUUUUAAAAUAUUUUGCUGAUCAUGUCAUAUUUGUCUAAUUCUAAUGGUACUGACUCAGUACAACCCAUUUUUACCAACUAAAAACACAUAAAUUGGCUGGGCACAGUGACUCACGCUGGUAAUCCCAGCACUUUGGGAGGCCAGGUGGGUGAAUUGCUUGAGCCUGGGAGUUUGAGAUCAGGCUGGGCAACAUGGUGAAACCCCAUCUUUACAAAAAAAUACAAAAAUUAGGCAUGGUGGCAUGUGCCUGUAGUCCCAGCUACUCAGGAGGCUGAGGUGGGAGGAUUGCUUGAGCCCAGGAAGUUGAGGCUGCAGUAAGCCGAGUUUAUGCCACUGCACUCCAGCCUGGGCAGCCCUGUCUCAAAAAACAAACAAAAAACCAAAAAAUCCUAUAAGUUGUUUACAAACAUGUAUGGCUACAUACAGAUUCCCUUAGAAGUUGCAUUUCCAUUAUACAUAUCCUACAGUAAUAACGAUUUUCCCACGUUGCCAUCAUUCUCUGAAUCAGUCUUACCCACCUAUCAUAGCCUGUUGAGGCUGCUGCAACAAAAUACCUUAGGCUGAGUAAUUUACAAACAACAGACAUUUAUUGCUCACAGUUCUGGAGGCUGGGAAGUCCAAAAUCAAGACACCAACUGAUUUGGUGUCUGGUGAGGGCUCGUUCCUCAUAGGUGGUGCCUUCUGUGUGUCCUCACAUGAACAAGCUCCGUCAGCUCUCUUUUAUAAGGGCACUAAUCCCAUUCACAAAGACUCCACCUUCAUGACCCAGUCACCUCUCAAAGGCCCCACCUCUUAAUACAAGCACACUGGGAAUUAGAUUUCAACAUAGGAAUUUUGCAGGGACACAAAGACUCAGACCACGGAACCCUCCUAUGUAAAGUGCAAGGGGAAUUGUCUGUUCUGCCCUGUCUGUUGUGGGUAGGGGUCAGGGGACCCAGGGAAUCUAAGAAGUGGAGCCAUCCAGAUGAGAGGGGCACAAGGGCUUCUCAACUGGAUGAUGGGCAUUUGGGGCAGAAAGGAAAGCAAAGGCUGAAUCUCAGAACUGGGAAAAUGCAGGUGAUUUUGGGACCAGUGAAUAAGCAGGGUGUCACGGGACACAGGGCUUGGGGGUGCUGCUUGUGAAGAAGAGGAAAAGUCAAGGGUUUCCCUUGUGGAGCAUCUGUCUCAGGGAGAAUGGGACCAAUGGAGACAGACACAUGGGAACAUCAGACCCAGAGAGACAGGAAUCCAGCGAGAGAGAGUGACAGGGGCUGCAAAGGGUUAACAGAGAAGGUCAAGGUACAAGCCUGGAAGCAGGAAGGGUGCCCUUAGGUGCGAUGAUUGCUCCUGGAGACACACUGCAAUGUGUUGGGGGUAAAUCUCUCACCAUUUUCCUUUUAUUUAAAAUUCUUACCAAGACAGAUUUUGAUUUUUACACUCACUGAUGGAAACAGAACCAUGAUUUAGGGAUCACAUACUCCCAUGUCCCUUGUCCUAACAUUUCUUAUCUCUGACAGUUACAUUUUUCCCUCUGGGACAUCAGACCACUGUGUCAGUGUGUUGUGGGGAGGUGCUUGUGGCCUUUGCUUUGGUGGGGACAGCACAUGGAGAUGUAACUGUGUCCCCCUUCCAUACGUCACUGCCAUUACAGUUUGCAUCAAGCAGCUGAGCAGAGCAGGGAAAAGAACCAGUGGGUGACCUGGGACACCACGAUCUGACUAUGGGGCGGGCCCAGAGUCUACCUCGCUGGGCUGGGGCACAAUCCUACAGGGGCCAAGAGAGACAACCUAUGAUGCAACUGUGUCCCCCUUCCAUACAUCACUGCCAUUAUGGCUGGCAUCAAGCAGCUGGGUAAAGCAGGGAAGAGAACCAGUGGGUGACCUGGGACACCACCACAGGGUAGGUCUGGCUGUGGGGCAGGCCCAAAGUCUACCUCCCUGGGCUGGAGCAUGAUCUUACAGGGGCCAAGAGAGACAACCUACCAAGGCUCGUAGGUCCCUGAUUGUGACCAAGCUCAUAUGCCAGGUUGAGGCAUUGAGACUUGAUUCUGUAGCUCAGGGAGAACCAUCCAAGUUCUCAAGGAGAGGGUGAGGUGGUCAGAUGUCUUCCUAGUUGGAGAGGCCCCUACUGGCAGUGUGUGGCCAGGGAAAGGUGAGAGGCAGGGAAGCCAGACAGGAGGCUGAUGCAGUUGCCCAGGUGAGAAACGAUCACUCCUAACUCAGGGCAGAGACCCUGGAGAGGAAGAGGAAGCUGGAGGGGAGAGUGUCAUUGUAAGGUCAGGUAACAGGAAUCGGCGCCUAAUUGGAGGUGGCGAAUGAUCCAGGAUGUCUGCCAGGUGUCUGACCAGGGCAACCGAACUGCUGCUGCUGCUCUCAGCAUCCGGACGGAAAGCAGUGAGAUGGUCUUGUAUCAUCUUCAUGUUUGCAGCUUAUCUUGACUGACCCACAUUCUUCAUGUUUGCAGAUUAUCUUGACUGACCCACAUUCUUCAUAUUUGCAGAUUAUCUUGACUGACCCACAUUCUUGAGGCAGAGGGUUUUUUUGGGGGACUUUGGGUGACAAGCCUGAAAUAUUUUAACAAUGGCCGCGAUUCUCCACUUCUCUUCAUUCUAUUGGCAGCCUGACACCCAUCGCUAUGGUGGUGGAGCACAGAGAAAUCUUAAAUAGAAGAUCAUUAUGUGUAGGUAUGAAUAUGCCAUCCCCCCCACCCCCACCCACACACACACACUGGAUUUCCUCUGCCAGAGCCUUGAACCGAGCGAAUAGAAGACCAGCCUGUCCCUGAACUUGACGGCAUCAGGAGUAGCUCCACUAAGGUCACCGCAGAAGGCUGUGCCGAGGGUUAGCACCCAGCACAGAAGCCGGCACCUUGUUCCCUAUUGUCUCUGGAAUGCCAUUGUUUUAAUUAAGCCGACUUUGUAGCCAGGGUUCAUUCACUACAGACAAAGCCUCUGUUAGAAAAAAUUAGACCUCAGAAACUUCUAGAGAGCGAGGGGUGGAGGGUGGAAUCACAAGCCACUGGCGGUAGAAGUUUCUGUUCUAAAUCCCCGGGAAAAAAAACAGCAAAUGGGUUUCUCCUUUUGUUAAUUGUAACAAAAAAAUAAUAAAUAUGAAGUAAAUCUGCAUGGUGGGGUGGGGGAAGGGGUAUAGGUUGCAAGAAUGAUUCUUUCUUUCUGCCUAAGAAAUACAGUUUAAACAAUCCAGAUGAUUCCAGCAAACUGUAGAUUUCAUGUUUCCACAUUCGACAGCAUAGUUGAUACAUAAGAAGGAAGAACGAUUUGAAUCGUGAUGUCAUGACUGGAGCUGCUGAUUGUUUUAACACAGCUCAAGGAUUGAUUUCCCCACCAGAAAAAUAAACUUAGCCUCAAUCCAAUACUGAGCAAAGGUGUUGUUGGAAGCGUUUUGUAACCCAGAGCAUAAAAAGUCAUCUUUUAAACCAUAGUACCAGAAACUGGCGAGGGCUCCAGGCAAUUUUAACCCUCUGGUAUUUCUCAUUAGGAAGACUUUUGUCACCCUGAAAAGAAGGAAAAACCCCAUUUAAAAAAAUCAUGAGUGGCAGAUUUUCAGGGAGACCACGCAGCUGCAACCAUCGGAAUUGGAUGUCGGGGCUGUUUUACGUGAGCAGGACGGCGCCGGUUAAGCUUUCAGGAGCUGUGUGUCUCACCAGCUUAAGGUUAGGAAGUCAGGUGCGUGAGCCACAUGGCGCCUUCUCUGCUCGCUCCUUCAGUGACAUGAUUUGGGUGCUGUGAAGUUUGGAGUUAGAGCUGCUAAAAACUCCAGGCCUCGGAGAAAAGGUGAAGAGUGCAUUGAUCAAACUGUAAUUUGGAACAUCAUUGCCUGGCACAUGGCCAACAUUCUCUGCCCCGUAUGCGGGGUGCCAGAGACCAGGCCAGGUGUCCUCUGCCUCUGGGGAUGGCAGCUGAGCAGGAAGAACAAUGGUUUCGGGAAUGUUUUAUAUAGUCACUCGUCUGUCAGGGGCAAGAUGAUAUGAAUGUGGCAGAAAGAAUGGCUUAUUUGGAGCUGGAAGGUCAGCGAUUGCUGAGUAAUCAGGCUGAGUAAGCCAGUGGUCUUUGCGUGAGGGCUGAGACUCCAGUUCUGGUAUGCCACUCACUCCUCUCUGCGGCCAGCAUGCGAGUUCCUUUCCUUCUCCAAGCCUCAGUUUCCUCUCCCAUAAGAUGAGGAAGUAGCACCCACCAGAGAGGAUGCGUGGGCUUUGAUGGAGGUAAUGCACCUGCACAGCUCAGCACAGAGUCUGGCCCAGUCAGUGCUCAGUGAGGAUUUGUUCCAAUCCACAGCCCGGCUCCUUCCUCUUAGGGCCGCGGGGGCCGAGAGGGAGAGCAGAAACACGAAUUCCCUGGAGAUACACAUUUUGUCUUACAGAUGCACUGCUUGGGAAUACAGCCCUUCCAACAACAAGCUUUCUGUUUUUGAGCCUUGUCAACAGCACAUGCCGAGCAGCAGGCAGAGUGCACUGAAAAGAAGGAUUUGUGGCUGGCAGCGUUUGGUGGGGGAGUUGGAGGGAGUGGCCCGAGGGAAAAUGACAGAGUCAGGGCCCUGCCAUGUUAUCCUAGAGAAUCUACUUACCUGUAUAAAACGGGGUAGCAGUUUCCUAGUUCCUUCCUGGGUUUUUUGCUUAUUUGUUUAUUUUACUUAUUUAUUUUUUUGAGACAGGGUCUCACUCUUCUGCCCAGGCUGGAGUGCAGUGACGUGAUCUCGGCUCACUGCCAUCUCCGUGUCCUGAGUUCAAGCAAUUCUCCUGCCUCAGCCUCCUGAGUAGCUGGGGCUACGGGCACGCACCACCACACCUGGCUAAUUUUUGUAUUCAGAAAAUUACAUGUGGAAAUGGGGUCUUGCCAUGUUGGCCAGGCUGGUCUCAAACUCCUGGCCUCAAGUGAUCUGCCUGUCUUGGCCUCCCAAAGUGUGGGAUUGCAGGCAUGAGUCCCUGGGCCUGGCCCUCUGUCUAUUUUUUUUUUUUUUUUUUUUUUUUUUUGUCUUUUGGAUCUGAGGCAGAGGAUAUCCACCACUCUGGGCAGAUUUAUAGGUGACCCAAAGUUGGAAGAGGCUGGCUGAUUGAUCAGCUGCUGAUUUCAAAGAUAUCUCAGAAAUAAGAAAAGAGCUGGUGCUAAUUAAAAAAAAAAAUGGGUAGGGAUAAAUGUAAAGUCGUGUACUUAGGUUCAAAAGUCAACUGUAAAUAAACUGCAUAACUGCAAGAAGAGGGGAUGGUGUAAAAAGAGUGUAGGGUUUAUCCCAGUUUACUGAAAAGAUCAGACUGCCCCUUUGCUGUCUGCUCUCCAUCUGAUGGGUUUUAGGAAACUAAGUCUUAGCUCUGGUUGAAGGGAACUUAUUCCCCCCUUUAUAACGUAGGCUGUAUUUUUAGAAAACAAAUUUGCAACCCAAUCACCCUCUCAUACAGAACAGGAGAGGUAUGUAACUUCCCAGCAAGGUGAUGGUGGUGAAAGAUGAUCCCAAUCUCGCAAUGGUCCGUGGUACUCAUUCCCAGAUGUCCUUACCUGGUGGUGAUUCAGCAGGUCCCAGAAAUGUCCUUUCUCUUUUGGCUCUGAGCUGUCUAGUCUGGCCCAAGUCCUGGUCUGGCCUUUCCACUAGGACACAGCUGGAUGAGGGGUCAUCAGGAAUACUGGGGAGGGAGGGUGGAGAGUGACUGCCAGCAGAGAAACUCCAGUUUUUACAGUUUAGCAAAAAUGUUCAAACCCAUUAUUGGCUGGAGUUGAGUGCAAAGUCCCAUGGGGGAAAAAGUUCAUCUUUGGUGCAGGUGGGUGUAGGUAGCAGAUGUGGCUUUUCACUUGCUGAGAUAUGUCACAGGUGAGCAAAGAUAAGGGAAAGGCUAGGAGGCAAAAAGGGGGUUCCUGUAUGGAUCCUCACCAACAGCUGGCCGCCCUCUGCCUUGGGAACUCCACUUAUAUGUCAGACCUUCCAUGUGUGACUUUAUGUCUCUUAGAAUCUUUUCUGGCUUCUCCUCUGUGCUUCUGUCUGAGUAUUUUCUAUUGAUUCAGUGAUCUUUUCUGCUCUAAUUGCCCUUUAAACCAUCUACUGACUUAAUUUUAGUUAUUCUAGUUUUCAGUUCUAGAAUUUUCAUUUAAUUCUUUUUUAAAAAAUAGAUUCUAAUUCUUUGCUGAAAUUCUCUGUCUUUUAAUACUUCCUCCAUCUUUUCCUCUGUUUUCUUGAACAUUCCUAUGAUAGCUUUUGAAAAGUCCUUCUUGGCUAAUUCCAGCAUCUGGAUUAUCUGAGGGUCUGUUCCUAUUGUCUUUUUUUCUUUUGGAUUCUGGUCAUUUGGUUCUGUUUGUCUGUCUGUUAUUCUAUUACUAGACAUUUCUAUAAUUUCUUUUUUUCUUAGCAACAAGGUCCCUCUCACUUUGUUGCCCAGGCUGGAGUGCAGUGGUGGGAUCACAGCUCACUGCAGCCUUAAUCUCCUGGGGUCAAGUGAUUCCCUUACCUCAGCCUCCCAAGUAGCUGGGACUACAGGUGCUCAUCACCAUGCCCAGCUAUUAAAAACAUUUUUUUUUGUAGAGAGGGAGGGUCUUGCUAUGUUGCCCAGGCUGGUCUUGAACUCCCAGGCUCAAGCAAUCCUCCCGCCUUGGCCUCCCAAAGUGUUGGGAUUACAGAUGUGAGCAACUGUGCCUGGCUUAGAGUUUUUAAUUGAAUGCCAGACAUUAUGUA